This is a long non-coding RNA of Passer domesticus (house sparrow), 1111 nucleotides long. RefSeq lists it as uncharacterized. The transcript has 3 exons. The record is from RefSeq and is a predicted model, not a curated record. NCBI's taxonomy places the organism in Eukaryota, Metazoa, Chordata, Aves, Passeriformes, Passeridae.
ACACCAGCAAAGAGGCCUCGUUACCAAGUCCUUACACCUUUGACAAUAUCUUUGUGUCUGGGACUGUGUGUUCCCAGGUCAGUGCUCACCCUCUACUGCUCUGGAGAAGAAAUGUAAAAAAGAAACCAACAAAGUUACUUGUGAGCAAAUCGACAUUGUGCAGAAACCUGUGGGCAUUCCCCUCUGAUCACAUGUGCUGCCCCAGCCUGGGAAAGGCAAAAAAUACCUCCUGGUUGUUGUGAAAGCCAGAAGCAACAGCUCUGUGAGCAGCUCGAGGGCUUUUCUGAGUGCUGAGCACAUCUGCACAGCACCUGGCACAUCUGUUGGAAAAAUCAUCUCUGACAAGCCACUUUCCUGGGUGCAGAGCUCAAAAGACGCCAAGAGGCUUGGGGCUUGAUGAAAGGUCCUCCAGGAGCUGUCCAGCUGGAAAUGCAAACAUCAAACCUGGAGAUGACUUUUGAGAACACAGGCCAAAGAGAACGAGCAAUUUGCCAAAGACACACAGGGAAUUUGCAGGAGCACCAAGAAUGGGAGCAAGAUAUCUGAAGUGAAAUUUAAAAUGCUUGUCCUAACACUCUCCCUCGUACAACACUACACUGCUGAUUGUCUGCUUUCUUUCUUAGAUAUCUCACUCCAGCCUCUUCAAUAUCUUUUAAUGACAUUAAAAAAAAAGCAGGUGCUUCUAUUUAUGAGUAAGAAACUUUCUUAGAAGUUCACAAGAACAAAAAAAGCAACGUGUGUUCCAAGGCACAGUAAGAUUUCUGAGCAAGCCUUUUUUAUUAUUCAAUUUAAGCCCAAGUAAAAUAUAUAGCUGUUUCAGAUUUGGCUCCUCUCUGAAACAUGCCUUGUAGAACAAUGUUUCUCUCCCCCUGUAAUUCUGACUCCACAACACCAGUUUUAUUUGCCAGGCCUGGCAAACAAUGAUCUAUCCAUCCAUGUCAUGCAUAUUAUGUCAAAUUUAUUACGACAGCUUUCCAGCAUAUUUCCAGUCAAGGUUUCAUUCUUCUUACAGAUUCUGCAAAUGAGCAACAGUUUUAGUUACAAAUGCCUCCCCAUGAGGCAGCACUCCUGACAAUAGAGCAGAACUUACUGUAUUUCUUGCAGAAUUGUG